Phalacrocorax carbo (great cormorant) is the source of this 3784-nucleotide non-coding RNA. The record is from RefSeq and is a predicted model, not a curated record. NCBI's taxonomy places the organism in Eukaryota, Metazoa, Chordata, Aves, Suliformes, Phalacrocoracidae.
ACCAGAAGGUCAUGGGAAGAUGCUCAGCGUGAGCUGCUGAGCAAUGCCUGCUCCGGCAAUCCCCCACCAAGGCAAUCCACAACCUCCAGAAGGGCCCUCGACUCCAGGACCAGGAAAGCCUGAAGGAUCUUGAAAGGAAUUGCAGCAACCCCUGAACCGUAGUCACCUCUGGGAUGGAAGAAGCCGGCUGAUUAACAACAUGCAGAAACAUGACGUUGCAUGGAGUGUUUAACCUGCGGCUGAGGCUGUCAGCACCUGCCCUUCCUUUAUGGCAAGAUGGGAAGGAGGAUCCACGUUACGGGAGCAGACCCCUGGCGCAGGGGGGACCGAGUCCUGCUGAGCCUCUCCCCGGCGAUGUCCCCGGCGCACCUGCGGCUCCGUCCCGCUGGAUGAAGCUGUGCGACGCAGUCGCCCACACGCUCACACGGCAUGGGAGCUCCCAGAGCUGCAAGCUCGUCUGCGAUUACCACGCUGACAAGAGCUCACGGAAAGCCAGGAUUCGCUUUCCCUGCGGCGGUCAGGAGGAGCCAGGAUAAGUUGUCUCCUUCUCUCUUUAACAGAAGAUACCAGAAUUUUCCUCCAGUGACCCAUGAUUUCACCUUCCACCUAAGACCCCUGUUUAUGGCACGUGAGAACAAGGCUGAAAGGAUGGUAUCAGAGUAAAAUGAGGACUGGGGGUAAUUAAUUUCUUCAGCUUCAGCGUGGAAGGCAGACGCAGGAGUCAGCUUCGAGCUGCUGCCCAGGGGUGUGAUCACAGCUCAGCUGGCAUCACGCUGCCGCGGCUCUGCAGGGACAGCUGAGCAGGGGGAUCACACAGCUCUGCUGCCUGGGUUCCCUUUCUGAAAGCAUUCCUAGGAGGGGUAUUUAAAGAAACAGAAAUUACAUCCUGUACACCCGAUAGUCGCGUGGAAUUUGUGAAAUGCAGCUACCUCUGGUGCGAAGAAAAGGAGGGCGACAGCAACCAGCACACAACAGAAAGGUGAAGACAAGAAAUAAAAGCCAGAUCCUCAUGAAAAGAUUUACCAGAGGAACCCUGGUAUCAAAGGAUCUUGACAGGACCAAAUUUCCCCCCCAAAAAACAGAACACAGUUUUAAUGUAAACAGAGCACAACAUUCAGAAGCAGCACCACCACCACAGGCACUCAAAGCAAUUAAGCGCUUGGCUCUUCACCACACAUUUUCUAGGAGACUAGAAAUGCACAGAGCCCAGCUUGCCUUGACCUACCCUGAUAAACCGCACUUACAAAAGGGCUGAGACCUCUGCCAGCUAUGCUCUACAGUCCAUAAAUACCUGCAUUUCUAUGCUACCCAACCCUGGCAAAUGGAAGGAGGAGCUGAAGAGACUGUACAAACAGCUUCAUAGAGGAUUAAUAUGCUCCUUUCUUCCCCAGCAAGCUCCCAGCUCGGAUCCAGCAGCUCCUUGCAGCCAAUGUUGCUAAUACACCGGUCGCCCGCCGCCCUCGGACAGAUCUUUCUGUAGCAACAGGGAAAGAAAUGAAUGAAAGAGGACGGUGUUCCUGACCUACUGCUCCCCACUCCAGCAGAGUUUACAGUACCAGCUACGGACUGGGUUUCUCCCCAGGACCGUGCUCUGGAGCAGCGGUACCACUGUUUGGCAUUAGGCACAUAAAACUCUUUGCAGCAGCGUUUCAAAUCUGUUUUAUUUAAAGCUCUGGAAGAGUCACAUGGUAGGAAGGUAGCGAGCAAACACUGCAAGUCUACUUUCCUGCCAAGGAUUGCACUAAUCUGGUAUUUAAUCUUAAACCAGUUGUGCACCCACCCUUGGAGGGCUUUGCGCACGUGUGUGUAUGGAUUUCUCCCUCAGAUGUGAGGGAAAUGCAGCCACACAGGUAGGGAGCAUGACGAGCCGAUGCUUGAGGAAUCAGAGGAUUUCAAAGCACAGCACAAACUGUAAUUACUUUUGGCAUCCCCAUCUCCCCCAUAGUGGGAAGAGUAAUGCUGCAAUAUCUUUUAUCCCGACCCUUCCUUAUCACAAUUACCGCAGGGGUGCUUAGAGCCCCAGCGGGGGGUGAGAUGUGCAGGUGGGCAUCCGUGUGAUCUUUCCGGCUUGGCGUUGCUUCCCAGAUCCAGAGCCCACACCUCAUCCUCACAAUGAGAGAAGGGAUUGCUCAAGUCCUCGCUCCAGCUGGUGAUCAGGGACCUCUGCUCCACUAAGCUGCUGUUCAUGCUGGAGGAAGGCAGAUUUUAAAAGCCUCCUGAAUCAAGAGGUGGCUGCCAGGGAUCCCAGUGUGAUAACAGCACCAUUUUGAGGCAGCGAACUUGGCAAGAGCUCCGUGUCGCUGCCUAGAUGCCAGGCUCUGAGAAACCCUUGCAUCAGCAUAAACAGCCUCCAGGGAUGGUUCUCCCUUGCCCCUGGCCCCUACACACGCACCACCCCGAAAGCCGACAGCGCUUUGCCUGCCUCGGGGGGAUGCACAACUUGUGCCCUGCUGCUGCAAACUCCGAAAGCUGGUCCUGUGCAGGGGGAUUUCACCUGCUCUCCUGUCCCCCGUGCUCCCUCCCCUCUCCCCAUUUCAAUGUUCAAGUUUUUGUCCAUAAUCUGAAGGGGCCAAGUGUCCCUGCCAUUCCUUCUCUGCCUUCUCAGAUCUCAGCGCUGAUACCGCCGCCAACACCACUACACUCCUUAUUUCUGCACAUGAAGCUUUUCCACUUUGCAAAGAGCCAGGGGUUGGGCAACACAGUGAAAACCAGACAUUGUCUGGGCCACAUGCAGGGAAGGAAUAAUGCAGAAACAAACACCAAAAGAGAUUUUCACAGUAGCAAAUGUCUCAGGGAAUGACUAGCGAAAGCAAAUGAGGCGGAUCCUCAAACAGUCCUGCUCCACCUGGGAUGUGACUAGCGCAAUCGACAUUAAAUGAGGGGCUCCCCCAGCUGGGUGGCAGCGCCUGAGAUCUGGGGGUUGCCAACCAGACUGGAUGUGUGCCCAUAUGGCAAAAGCCUCAGUAAGUGUCUUGCCUCCUCCACCAGCUUCCUCAGAAAGCGCUGGGAGAGCAGGAAGGCAGGAGGCUGGUCUGAGAUGCAGAGACACUGCAUCUCCUUUGCUCUUUGCUCCUCACGCCAAUGUCCCCCGGCGUACCUCCCUCCCCUGGGCAGCCCAGGACAGGGGCGUGCUUCGUGCUCGCAGAUCAGACCAUCCUGCUAUGUCCGUGCUGUUCAGAAAGCUCUUUACCAGGUAUUUUGCACCAGCAGCGCCAUUUUCCUUAAAUACAGGGAUGGUACAAGGAAGCUGUGGGAUUGCCCAAGAGCCCAGGCCCUGUGACGGUGCAAGUUCUCCAGGAGCCCAAACCCGGUGAGAUGCUGCCUUCCAGGAAACCUCUGUCCCUGAGAGAGCAGCACGUGCUUGGAGGGCACCCUGAGCCAUCCUGCACUGCCUGGAGACACCCACCUCCCUAAUAUCCUUACCCUGCCGCAGCUGAGCACCACCGUCACUACGACAUUUUCAUGUUAAACCAAACAUGGACACGUCUGGAUACCAAAUAGAGAUAUCCCAGAUGAAACAUGUAUAAACAGAUUAAGCAUGCCUCAAUGCCUGCAAAGCCCUGCUCACUUCCCUAUGGAGGGCAACAUUUCAUGCAUAUCUGGGAACUCGGCAAGCGCACACUGUUUAGAUAAACCUUGUUCCUUGUUAAACUGUAAAUAACAUCUGUUUUGCUGAGCCAAGCCAAGCCCCAGCUCGCUGCUCGGUGUCCUGAAAGUUGCCAGCCCAGUCAUGGGAAUGGCAGACAAAGCAAGUAUAUUUGGUGGUUUUUAAAAUAAAGAAUUU